This is a small nucleolar RNA of Phodopus roborovskii (desert hamster), 122 nucleotides long. RefSeq annotates it as small nucleolar RNA SNORA32. The transcript has a single exon. NCBI's taxonomy places the organism in Eukaryota, Metazoa, Chordata, Mammalia, Rodentia, Cricetidae. The record is from RefSeq and is a predicted model, not a curated record.
UGGUCAUUACCAAGGCUUUGAGAAAUUCAGUUUCUCAUUUGCUGUGGACAUGACCAUAAAAAAAUUCCCAUUAGGUUUUUCCAUGUGCUACUUGUUUAGCUGUUAACCUGUUGGGGACAUCU